GACGAACGCUGGCGGCGUGCUUAACACAUGCAAGUCGAACGGAAAGGCCCUGCUUUUGUGGGGUGCUCGAGUGGCGAACGGGUGAGUAACACGUGAGUAACCUGCCCUUGACUUUGGGAUAACUUCAGGAAACUGGGGCUAAUACCGGAUAGGAGCUCCUGCUGCAUGGUGGGGGUUGGAAAGUUUCGGCGGUUGGGGAUGGACUCGCGGCUUAUCAGCUUGUUGGUGGGGUAGUGGCUUACCAAGGCUUUGACGGGUAGCCGGCCUGAGAGGGUGACCGGCCACAUUGGGACUGAGAUACGGCCCAGACUCCUACGGGAGGCAGCAGUGGGGAAUAUUGCACAAUGGGCGGAAGCCUGAUGCAGCAACGCCGCGUGCGGGAUGACGGCCUUCGGGUUGUAAACCGCUUUCGCCUGUGACGAAGCGUGAGUGACGGUAAUGGGUAAAGAAGCACCGGCUAACUACGUGCCAGCAGCCGCGGUGAUACGUAGGGUGCGAGCGUUGUCCGGAUUUAUUGGGCGUAAAGGGCUCGUAGGUGGUUGAUUGCGUCGGAAGUGUAAUCUUGGGGCUUAACCCUGAGCGUGCUUUCGAUACGGGUUGACUUGAGGAAGGUAGGGGAGAAUGGAAUUCCUGGUGGAGCGGUGGAAUGCGCAGAUAUCAGGAGGAACACCAGUGGCGAAGGCGGUUCUCUGGGCCUUUCCUGACGCUGAGGAGCGAAAGCGUGGGGAGCGAACAGGCUUAGAUACCCUGGUAGUCCACGCUGUAAACGGUGGGUACUAGGUGUGGGGUCCAUUCCACGGGUUCCGUGCCGUAGCUAACGCUUUAAGUACCCCGCCUGGGGAGUACGGCCGCAAGGCUAAAACUCAAAGGAAUUGACGGGGCCCCGCACAAGCGGCGGAGCAUGCGGAUUAAUUCGAUGCAACGCGUAGAACCUUACCUGGGUUUGACAUGGAUCGGGAGCGCUCAGAGAUGGGUGUGCCUCUUUUGGGGUCGGUUCACAGGUGGUGCAUGGCUGUCGUCAGCUCGUGUCGUGAGAUGUUGGGUUAAGUCCCGCAACGAGCGCAACCCUUGUUCACUGUUGCCAGCACGUUAUGGUGGGGACUCAGUGGAGACCGCCGGGGUCAACUCGGAGGAAGGUGGGGAUGACGUCAAGUCAUCAUGCCCCUUAUGUCCAGGGCUUCACGCAUGCUACAAUGGCUGGUACAGAGAGUGGCGAGCCUGUGAGGGUGAGCGAAUCUCGGAAAGCCGGUCUCAGUUCGGAUUGGGGUCUGCAACUCGACCUCAUGAAGUCGGAGUCGCUAGUAAUCGCAGAUCAGCAACGCUGCGGUGAAUACGUUCCCGGG
Molecule: ribosomal RNA, 1343 nt
Filed under: uncultured bacterium
Lineage: Bacteria
Description: 16S ribosomal RNA
Rfam family: Bacterial small subunit ribosomal RNA
Source: RNAcentral